This 270-nucleotide ribosomal RNA is filed under the name uncultured archaeon. Its description in RNAcentral is "partial 16S ribosomal RNA". It matches the Rfam family "Archaeal small subunit ribosomal RNA", at positions 477 to 747 of the family's 1478-position model. The record is from RNAcentral.
CAGCACCUCAAGUGGUCAGGAUGAUUAUUGGGCCUAAAGCAUCCGUAGCCGGCGCUGUAAGUUUUCGGUUAAAUCUGUACGCUCAACGUACAGGCUGCCGGGAAUACUGCAGAGCUAGGGAGUGGGAGAGGUAGACGGUACUCGGUAGGAAGGGGUAAAAUUCUUUGAUCUAUUGAUGACCACCUGUGGCGAAGGCGGUCUACCAGAACACGUCCGACGGUGAGGGAUGAAAGCUGGGGGAGCAAACCGGAUUAGAUACCCGAGUAGUCC